UACGUAGGGCAGCGACGUUGUUCGGAUUAUCGUGGCGUAAAGAGUAUGUAGGCGGCCUUGUAAGUCAGUUGUGAAAGCCCCGGGCUCAACCCGGGAAGUGCAAUUGAUACUGCUUGGCUUGAAUGUGGAAGAGGGCAGUAGAAUUCCAGGUGUAGUGGUGAAAUACGUAGAUAUCUGGAGGAAUACCGGUGGCGAAGGCGGCUGCCUGGUCCUACAUUGACGCUGAGAUACGAAAGCGUGGGAGCAAACAGG
Molecule: ribosomal RNA, 252 nt
Filed under: uncultured bacterium
Lineage: Bacteria
Description: partial 16S ribosomal RNA
Rfam family: Bacterial small subunit ribosomal RNA
Source: RNAcentral